GGAGUUUGGGCCGUGUCUCAGUCCCAAUGUGGCCGUUCACCCUCUCAGGCCGGCUACUGAUCGUCGCUUUGGUAGGCCGUUACCCUGCCAACUGGCUAAUCAGACGCGGGUCCAUCGUAUACCACCGGAGUUUUUCACACUGUAAGAUGCCUUACUGUGCGCUUAUGCGGUAUUAGCAGUCAUUUCUAACUGUUAUCCCCCUGUAUACGGCAGGUUACCCACGCGUUACUCACCCGUCCGCCACUAAGUCUUCCCUUCACUUCAGACGAAUCAUCAGAUCUGGGAGCUUCGUUCGACUUGCAUGUGUUAAGCACGCCGCCAGCGUUCAUC
RNAcentral lists this ribosomal RNA (330 nucleotides) under uncultured Oscillospiraceae bacterium. Its description in RNAcentral is "partial 16S ribosomal RNA". The record is from RNAcentral. Lineage: Bacteria; Bacillati; Bacillota; Clostridia; Eubacteriales; Oscillospiraceae.